UUCUUAUCAAGAGCAGGCGGAGGGACCAGCCCGAUGAAGCCCGGCAACCGACUUACCCAAAAUCGUAAGCACGGUGCUAAUUCUUGCAGCAAAGAGCUGACAGAUGAGAA
This 110-nucleotide non-coding RNA is filed under the name Bacillus sp. (in: firmicutes). RNAcentral describes it as "Bacillus sp. SAM-I sequence". It matches the Rfam family "SAM riboswitch aptamer (S box leader)". From Rfam's summary of the family: The SAM riboswitch is found upstream of a number of genes which code for proteins involved in methionine or cysteine biosynthesis in Gram-positive bacteria. Lineage: Bacteria; Bacillati; Bacillota; Bacilli; Caryophanales; Bacillaceae. The record is from RNAcentral. RNAcentral also lists the same sequence under 1 other name.